UGGGGAAUAUUGGACAAUGGGCGCAAGCCUGAUCCAGCCAUGCCGCGUGAGUGAUGAAGGCCUUAGGGUUGUAAAGCUCUUUCGCCGGUGAAGAUAAUGACGGUAACCGGAGAAGAAGCCCCGGCUAACUUCGUGCCAGCAGCCGCGGUAAUACGAAGGGGGCUAGCGUUGCUCGGAAUCACUGGGCGUAAAGCGCACGUAGGCGGGUUGUUAAGUCAGAGGUGAAAUCCUGGAGCUCAACUCCAGAACUGCCUUUGAUACUGGCGACCUUGAGUUCGAGAGAGGUUGGUGGAACUGCGAGUGUAGAGGUGAAAUUCGUAGAUAUUCGCAAGAACACCAGUGGCGAAGGCGGCCAACUGGCUCGAUACUGACGCUGAGGUGCGAAAGCGUGGGGAGCAAACA
RNAcentral lists this ribosomal RNA (402 nucleotides) under uncultured prokaryote. Its description in RNAcentral is "bacterial SSU rRNA". It matches the Rfam family "Bacterial small subunit ribosomal RNA", at positions 355 to 774 of the family's 1533-position model. The record is from RNAcentral.